Long non-coding RNA from Mobula hypostoma (lesser devil ray), 728 nucleotides. RefSeq lists it as uncharacterized. The transcript is spliced from 4 exons. The record is from RefSeq and is a predicted model, not a curated record. NCBI's taxonomy places the organism in Eukaryota, Metazoa, Chordata, Chondrichthyes, Myliobatiformes, Myliobatidae.
CACACUGCCACCCAGCUUAGUAUCACCAGCAAACUUGCUGAUGUUAUUCACAAUGCUUUCCUCUAAAUCAUAGAUGAUUGAGUCAAAAAUGACUGCGCAUAUUAUCCGAAAUGACCUUGCACGAGGAAUUCUGCAGACGCUGGAAAUUCAAGCAACACACAUCAAAGUUGCUGGUGAACGCAGCAGGCCAGGCAGCAUCUCUAGGAAGAGGGAAUACAGUCUCACAUGGCAAAACUGACAUCCUAGGGACUGGUCUUGUACUCCCUUGAUGGGUGCCAGGCCUUUUGCUGUUCCAUCAUUGGGUUAAUUCAAACACCGGCCCAGAUAGAUCGAGAAGGCACGAUGCCAGUCAGGACGAGAGCCAAUUUCGCUCAUUUUCCGCGAUGGUUAUCUCUACGGCACUGAGGCUAUGAAGACUGCCCCGGCUGCUGUGCUCCAUGCCUGCUAAUAUGAUGAACUGAUAAGCGAGGCUUUGGGCCUACUCCGGCUAUUCUGGAGUUUGGAUCUGAGGACUUAAUCUUGGUUUGGAAUGCUGUUGUUGUUUGCUUCAAUUGUUUGCAUGUUUUUUUUCUUUCUUUUUGCACAUCAAGUGUUAGUCUUUUAUUUUUUAUUUUUACUUGUUUUUUUCUUUAAUCGGGUUCUUUUUGGUUUUUUGCUUUGUAGCUACCCGCAAGCAAGUAAAUCUCAACAUUGUUGUGAUUUACACAUUCUUUGGUAAUAAAUGAAUC